This 223-nucleotide long non-coding RNA is filed under the name Drosophila guanche. Lineage: Eukaryota; Metazoa; Arthropoda; Insecta; Diptera; Drosophilidae. The record is from RNAcentral.
UCCAAAUCCGCUCUAGCCAAAAUCAAAUCUCAUUGUAACCACCACCUUAGAAAGUCACUAGGCUUAAUCAUCUGCACCCCAAUCCCGAUUAUUUACCACAUGGCAGGAGAACUUCCCCCGGAAUACAGAAUGAGAUUCCUAGCGGCAAAAGAGUUAGCUAAGGCAUUUGCGUACAGCCUCCCAGCGAGUAGGACAGUGUCCCUAAACAGGGACACAAACACGG